UCGUAACAAGGUUUCCGUAGGUGAACCUGCGGAAGGAUCAUUAAAGAAAUAAACUUGAUGGGUUGUAGCUGGCUCUAAUCUGAGCAUGUGCACACUUGUCAUUUUUAUCUUUCCACCAUGUGCACUUUGCAUAGGUCUGAAAAUCAAAGUCUUAGACUUUUGAUGUCUUGGGAACUGCUGGUUGUUUUACAAUCGGCUUUUCCUGUCUUCAGGCUCUAUGAUUUUAUAUACACCAUGUAUGUUAAAGAACGUCAUUAAAGGCUUUCAAAGCCUAUAAACUUAAUACAACUUUCAGCAACGGAUCUCUUGGCUCUCGCAUCGAUGAAGAACGCAGCGAAAUGCGAUAAGUAAUGUGAAUUGCAGAAUUCAGUGAAUCAUCGAAUCUUUGAACGCACCUUGCGCUCCUUGGUAUUCCGAGGAGCAUGCCUGUUUGAGUGUCAUUAAAUUCUCAAUCUCUACAACUUUGUUGUUUAGUGGAUUGGAUGUGGGGGUUUCUGUGGGUGUUUAAGUACAUUCCACUCCCCUGAAAUGAAUUAGCUGGAAUGCCUCGGCAAGUCCAACUAUCAGUGUGAUAAAUAUCUACUGUGGUUGUUGCAUGAGGGUAUCUGCUUCUCAACUGUCGCAAGACAACUUGAAUCAUUUUGACCUCAAAUCAGGUAGGACUACCCGCUGAACUUAAGC
Molecule: ribosomal RNA, 681 nt
Filed under: Conocybe bulbifera
Lineage: Eukaryota; Fungi; Basidiomycota; Agaricomycetes; Agaricales; Bolbitiaceae
Description: eukaryotic LSU rRNA
Rfam family: 5.8S ribosomal RNA (bases 287-440)
Source: RNAcentral